CGUCUCCCAUGCAGCCCAAAAGUCCAGUCUCACUCCCACCAUGUCCCCGCAAACAGCACUGAAUUUAUUUCCAGGCAACCAGUGAGCAAGGCUGAGAACUUGUCCCAGGUUACGAGACUCCCAGGGGUGAGACAAAAUGUGCCAUGAGUGAUGGCCUUUGGUGAUCUACAGACAUCCCUGGCUCUAGCAAUCAUUUGUGUAGGGAGGUACAGUCAUGUGCCGCAUAAUGACAUUCAGUCAAUGACAGACUGCAUAUAUGAGGUGGUCCUGUAAGGUGAUAAUGGAGCUGAAAAAUUCCUACUACUGAACGACAUCAUAGCCAUUGUAACAUCAUAGCACAACCAAUCACCUUUUCUAUAUUUAGGAGCAAAGGCAAUACAAUGGAGAAGACAGUCUUUUAACAAAGGUGCUGGAAUAACUGGACAGCCAUGCACACACACAGAAAAGAAUCGAGACACAGACUUUACAUCUUCACAAAGGUACAACACUGAAGGCACCGCCCAUGAAAGAAACAACUGAUAGGCUGAACUCCAUUAAAAUUAAAAGCUUUUGCUCUGCAAAUACAAGAGAAUGAGAACACAAACCAUAAGGAGUUCAUAUGCUGGAAUGAUAGUGACACAGGAGUUUAACACUCCUACAGUAUCCAGAGCCUGGAUCCCUGAGUCAUCAGAUGGAGAAGAACUACUCAGGAGAGUCAUCCAACCUUCAUAGACAGUGGCAUGAGUGGGA
This 729-nucleotide long non-coding RNA is filed under the name Homo sapiens (human). RNAcentral's name for it is "HSALNT0327094". The record is from RNAcentral. Lineage: Eukaryota; Metazoa; Chordata; Mammalia; Primates; Hominidae.